GGGAUUGCCUUAGUAACGGCGAGUGAAGCGGCAACAGCUCAAAUUUGAAAGCUGGCCCUUUCAGGGUCCGCAUUGUAAUUUGUAGAGGAUGAUUCGGCGAGGGCUCCCGCCUAAGUCCCCUGGAACGGGGCGUCAUAGAGGGUGAGAAUCCCGUAUGCGGUGGGUUGCCUUAGCCAUGUGAAUCUCCUUCGACGAGUCGAGUUGUUUGGGAAUGCAGCUCUAAAUGGGAGGUAAAUUUCUUCUAAAGCUAAAUACCGGCCAGAGACCGAUAGCGCACAAGUAGAGUGAUCGAAAGAUGAAAAGCACUUUGGAAAGAGAGUUAAAAAGUACGUGAAAUUGUUGAAAGGGAAGCGCUUGCAACCAGACUUGUCCGCAGUUGCUCAGCCGGUCUUCUGACCGGCGUACUCUUCUGCGGCCAGGCCAGCAUCAGUUCGGGCGGUCGGAUAAAGACCUCGGGAAUGUAGCUCCUCUCGGGGAGUGUUAUAGCCCGGGGUGGAAUGCGGCCAGCCUGGACUGAGGAUCUCGCUUCGGCAAGGAUGCUGGCGUAAUGGUUGUAAGCGGCCCGUCUUGAAACACGGACCAAGGAGUCUAACAUCUAUGCGAGUGUUUGGGUGUCAAACCCAUACGCGUAAUGAAAGUGAACGGAGGUGGGAACCCGCAAGGGUGCACCAUCGGCCGAUCCUGAUGUCUUCGGAUGGAUUUGAGCAAGAGCAUAGCUGUUGGGACCCGAAAGAUGGUGAACUAUGCCUGAAUAGGGUGAAGCCAGAGGAAACUCUGGUGGAGGCUCGCAGCGGUUCUGACGUGCAAAUCGAUCGUCAAAUUUGGGUAUAGGGGCGAAAGACUAAUCGAACCAU
This 854-nucleotide ribosomal RNA is filed under the name Diplodia pseudoseriata. Its description in RNAcentral is "LSU rRNA". It matches the Rfam family "Eukaryotic large subunit ribosomal RNA", at positions 71 to 943 of the family's 3401-position model. The record is from RNAcentral. Lineage: Eukaryota; Fungi; Ascomycota; Dothideomycetes; Botryosphaeriales; Botryosphaeriaceae.